UGUGUGUGGUGAGGGUGUGUGUCUCAGAGAAGGAGGGAGUAUUCAGUGAGUAUGAGGGCAGAGCCAGCAGAGAGAGGGUGAAGAGCGGAUAGAGGAACGGGAGCGGAGAGAGGGAGGAGAGUAGACAGAGAGGGAACAAGGCAGUCGGCUGAUUCACCACCCCUCCAUCUAUCCAUCCUUUCUUUCUCUUUCUCCUCUUCUGCUUCAGUGACGGGGUAGUGGAGGUGUGUGUGGGAAAGGAAACCCUCCCUCCACACACAAACAGACCACUGCUCCUAAUCCCUUCCACCUGCCUCCAUCCCACUCCCUUCUCCCAUUGUCAUUACUACCUCCAGCUCUGUCUCAUUCCUUCUCACCCCAUCCCAUCAUCCCAUCUAUCUCUCUAUCGCUCUUUCUUUCUCUCCAGCCCCCACGCCCUUCUAACCCACACUCUCUGUGUCACCACCGUGGUGAAGAAAAUGAUCGCCGAACAAGCUGGAAAAGGUAGAGGAGAGGACAGAGAGAGGAGAAGGAGAGGAAGAGUGAACUCUGUCCAUUCAAAACAAUCCAGACUUUCCCGUUUCCCUGAUGGAUUAUCGCCGGCCCCACGGACAGAAGGAGGAGUGGAGGAGAAAAGAAAAAGACCAAUAGAGGAAGAGAGCAUACAAGCAUUGAGCUCUGGACAGCCAGUUCGCCUGAAGGUCUUGUCUGCAGGCUGUGCUUGGGACUCUGGCUAAUUGUGGAGUAUUCUCAGGACUCCAGCGGAGGAGAGAGAGAUGCUUUCUCUUUCUUUUCAUUCUAAUUAAUUGCCCUCUAUGCAAACACUCAAAGAGCCUUUCUCUUUGAGGGCGAUAAUUUCAUAUUCUGUUCAUAUCAGUAUUUUCCAUUUGUUUUUUCCACACAUACUGUACCUGUAGGCUGCCACUCAAAAAGAAAAAGAAAAAAACAUACAAAAACUCUGACAUCCCUAGGGGGUUUGGGAGUGGGUGUGCAGAGAAAUUAGAGAAUAAACGUGAGAGUGAGAGAUAAAACAUAAUAGUGUGGAGUCUACUAGAAAUAAGUAUUUCCCAGAGUGGUGUGAGGGAAGAAAGAAAGGAAAAUACUAUUUUCACCUCAGGUCUAACCAGUGCUGUGGAUAGACAGAGUAAGACAUCGGUCCCUGCUCAUCGGUCCCUGCUCAUACAACACCGAGACUGAGAAGAAUGCACAAGACUGAGGAGAGAACGGACGGACAAACACACAGACAAGUCAGCCCUCCGACCCCAAUCGCAUUCUGGUCCAUCUCUGUUAGGGUACAGCGCCCUAAACACACAUACACUUACUCACACACACACUCACUCAUACACACACUCACACACAGACACAAAAGAACCUUGGCUUCAUUUGGGACCCUUUUCUUUUCAGAAUUAUUUAUUUUAUAGCACCCAUUUUUCCCUCUCUCUGCCCCCUUCUCUCCCUGUCUCUCUCCCAUCUCUCCUCCAUCUCUCCAUAUAGACUCUGAGAACACCAUAUCUCCACUACAAAGACCUCUACACUUCCUGAUUCUUACAUUGAUUGGUCUUUCAGUUCCUCCCUUCUACAUAUCUCUACUUCUCUUCCUCUCCCUUUACCUCUUUUUCUCACCGUUCUUCUUUCUCUCCUUUUCUCUCUCUGUCUCUCUCCCUCUCUCACUCUCCUUUGCUUUCCUGCCCCCCUCGUCACACCUCACUCCCUCUCUCUUCUCCUACCGCUCCCUCACUUGCCCGGUCUCAUUGUCUUCACAAACAGCAGUGUUAGUGUGUGUGUGUACGGGGGAACCAAUCCAUUCUGCAGUGGAGCCACGGAGCACAGGGGAGCCUGAGGUACUACAUGUGUCUCAAUCAAACCAUGCCCCAGUUCACCUUUGCCUGUUUCUGUGGUCUGCACGGCUUCUGCCGGAGACGGAAAAAUAAUAAAAAUAAGAAAAGGGAGGAACAAGUGGAGAUGGAGGAGAAACAGAGGGAUCAGGAGACAGAGGUGUGAAGGAAGUCUGGAGGGACUUCACCCUCCUCUUCAUCUUCUCAUAGACUCUGUUUUGGUCAUAGUUGAAAAACGGUUGAAACCCCUUCCUGUGUACCUCAGUCCUUGGGAAUGAAGACAGGAUAUUUUCACCAAACACACUCAGUACCACUGAUUUUUACUCAAUUUAACUUAAAACUGUGGUCUGUAAUUUCUUAUAAUUUUUUUUUUACUCCAUGUAGGCCAGUACACUUACAAAGUCCUGCCAAAUUGAAUUACAGAUUGUGCCUUUUAGAUGGGGAGAUGGAACAGUAUGUAAUGAUGGCAUUCUUCUUUCUACGUUCAGAUCCUUUUCCAUUAUUCACACUGUGGUCCGUCUCUCCUCCACCUGAAGCAGCUGUCCAAUCAGCAGCUUCACUGGACAGUGUAGGUAGAGGUCAAAGGUUAAAACAAAUGUUAUUUACAAUCUCCUCCACCAAGGGGAUGUGCACACACACAUGUAAAUUAAAGAUAUGCAUGGGUCUGUAAAUGUGACUCACUGCCUCGAUUACAGUAGGUAUUAAGUAACAAAAUUAUAUAUAUAUAUAUAUUUUACAUUAGAUAAAAGUAGAGACUCAGAGGUAGAAAAUGGUAUAUCAUACACUGCAGUUGAGGAACAAUGGGAAAGUAAUGAUAUUUGAACUUGUGAACAAUGAACCAUAAUUCCCAACCCAUACAGUAAUAGCAAUACAAACUGAUUGUCAUAGCUAGCCACCAUGCAUGAAUCUGCAGGUAGGUAAAGCUAAUCAACUAUGUUCAAUGUUAGCUAGCUAGCUAACAUUGGCCUAUAACUAGCAAUGCAAAUGGAUUUCUGAUAUACUAAUAAUGUUCCUACACAGAUCAUACACGUAACGUUAGCUAGUGAGCCAACAAGCUAACGUUCGCUAGCCUCCUAACAGUUCGCUUUAACUUUCAAUGAAAACAACUUUCUGGCUAAAUUAGAAACUUAGAAUAUCGCUUCAUGGCAGACUGCUACCCCUUUAACCCCAUUUUGUUUGUAGUUACAGCUUGUUUGGCCUGCGUUGUGUCAAGUCACUCCAGUUCACACUGUAGGUAGUAGUAGUCCAUCUAAACUUUUUUCCACUGAUCUUUGUCUAUAGCGCCUGCUAAAAUUCAGGGCAGCAAUGUUGUUGAGAGCAGUCCAACAUUAUAUCUUUCAAAAAAGAUAGCCAGGAUUCACAUACGAAGCAGCUCAUGUUAUAAACAGAAGCAUGCUACAUGGCCAAUCGAUCUCAUCUCUCAGCAUGUCCAGCUUAUCCAUUAUCUAAGCCAAUCCGGUCUUUUUCCAUGGCUAAACCAACUAGGAUCCUAAUUUAACAAUUUUAUCCGUAUUUACCAAUUGCAUGCCGUUUGUGUUAUUAAGGCACAUAAAAGUUAUUAUGUUCCAGAAGGCAUUUAGAUUUUUUUUUAAAUGCCUAAUGCCUCUCCUGUGAAGUAGUGACGUGCGACAUACACCUAGCUUCUUGAAACGGUUUAUAAAUGCCACUGGUGGCGUUGGGACACCUGUCACCUGUCACCUGUCACCUGUCACCUGUCACCUGUUUAAUAUGGAAGUAGUGAAUGUGUUUGUGUGUGCAUUGAAACUUCAUUGCAACUGGAGCAUAGAGAGUUUCAGUACCUAGAUAUUCAUAUGCUGCAGAAUGGCCACACACACACACACACACACAUACACACACACACACACACACACACACACACACACACACACACACACACACACACACACACACACACACACACACACACACACCUUCUCAUUAGCCUGUGUAAUUAUGCAUGGCACAUCCAGUUGGCCAGUGGAGAUGUAAUUAACCUUUUCCUGCAGGAAACAGCAGUCUGGACGUCUGACACACACACACACACACAGACACACACACACACGUCUGGUGUCACGGAAAUAGAGUGUCAAAGACGACGUCUGGCAUUCAAUGAUAAUCCCCUCACGCAUAUUUACAUCCAAGGUUUAAACUAUUAAUGUCAGAUUACCUCUCCUCUCCCUUUAUCUUCCACCCUUUCUCUCUCUCCCUCUUCUCGUCCCCAGCCCCUUCUCUGACUUUCUUCCUCCUUCACUUUCCAUGUCUCUGUGUCUGUCUGUGUCUGGCUACACAAACCUCUUUCUCUCUUCCCUUCUGACUGUCUCUGUCUCCUUUUUCUCCUUUCUCAACCUCCUUGCCCACAUCCCUCUCUCUCCUGCUCCCUCGCCCUCUGUUCAUCUCUUUAUCUCUCAGUAAAACACGUUCUCUGGGCAGUGAGCAUGGCCUUGCCUGGCUGGCACUUCCACAGAUUGACACCAGCACUCGCUCAGGGAGCCCUCUCGCCAAGUCCACAAAAGCUGCUUUACAACAGAUGAAGGGAUAGUGUGAUUGUGUGUGUGUGUGUGUGUGUGUGUGUGUGUGUGUGUGUGAGUGUGUGUGUGUGUGUGUGUGUGUGUGUGUGUGUGUGUGUGUGUGUGUGUGUGUGUGUGUGUGUGUGCGUGUGCGUGUGUGCUUGCGUGUGUGAGUGCACCCACAUGCGCGUGAGUGUGUGUUUUUGUGUGUGUGGUGGUCAUGUGUGUGCAUGUGUGUGUAUACGUGUAGGUUUAUAAGAAAAGAUAAAGCGAUAGGGUUGAGUAUUUUCCUAUUCUACCAUUGAGAACAGUGAAAUAGGAUAAAGCUAAGCCAUUUCACAGAGAUGAGCAGCUAUUAUGAGCCACCAUGUUACAGAAAGGCUUUUUAACAAGAAAGGGAGAGAGAAAAUGAUAGGGAGAGGGGCAGAGAGAGAACAGUUAAUGAGAGAGGGAUGGAAAUGGAAGAGGGAGCUAAUACUCGGCACUCAUGCUAAUUGGCUACAGUUGCUAACUCUCUGAGGUGAGAGGAGGUUUAAAAAAGCACAGACUGAUCCCUGCAUUACACUCGUUUAAAGAAACGAUUCGCUUGAAUAAUGCAGAGGAGCUGAAAUGAAUAACAGGGUGUUAUUAGCAGUGGGAGGGCUGUUUUUCACCUGAGUGACUAUGUGUAGUCUUCUCAGCCAGGUCGCCCGUGAUACAAGUCAGUAUUCGACGUCCAUCCAUGUCUGAGGACGUCGGGAGAUGGCAUAGAAACUGGCACUAGGGGCAACAGUGAGCGCUGUUAUCUUCAAGUAGGUUUCGGUUUUGCUAGGACAUUGUGGAUGGGUGUAAGCAUCUGCCUCUGAUUCCAAAUUCAAAUCCAGUAAUAAAAAGUAGUUGAUAUUUUUGUAGUUGAUAUCUCCAGCCUUAACCCUUACUUUAACCAUUUGGAGUUAACGUCUAACCUUAAGAAUGUAGAGUUAAUGCCUGAAUUUAAUCCUAACCUUACAAAUGCUGAGUUAAUGCCUAAACUUAACCUUAAACAAUUUGACAUUUGAUGUUUGAGAAACAUUAAUGAACGUCUAAUUCUGACAUGAGACUGUGAGUGCUGAUACAGUUUUCUAUGGAUCAUAUCCAUACCAUGCAUAUGGAGCCUUAAUCAAAGACAAAUAGCUGAAAAUAAAUGGGAUUGACUAUAUAGCGACUCCCAGGCCUGGAAAUUUACUGAUUUUAGGGGCUAAGCCAUUUUUCCUUUAAGAGGUGCCCAAUCUGCCAGGGCAACAAGGUCAUCUGCUAGGGCACCAAUGCCAUUAACCAAAAUAGGCAAUUAAAUAGUGUAGGUGAUAGCCUAUGCAUAUUGGCUGCAGCCUGUCAAGUCUAGACAGAUGCUGACAUGAGGGAGUCGCAGGAAAAUGUAUGACUUUUAAUUACAUAUAUCGGCUAAACGCCAGUCAUGUUUGACAAAUAUAAUGUAGGAUCCUUAUUAAUAUGGAAAGGAUUGAUUCUGUCGACAUACUUGAGGCACUGUUCAUUCAGAUAGAAGAGAAUGGCCAGUUCCUGAUGCACACUGCAUCACCCACCUUGCAAUCUGAGUGGAGGUAGUCAACAUUUUGAAACUGUUGAACCAUAAACAGAAUUGUUUAAAACCUGGAAGUUUUUUGUCAUUUUAUGAGGCAUGUCUUACCAUGUCCCAACCAUAUGAAUGUUAAGGGGAUUAUUUUAUGAACAUUUCCCCAUAUGUCAUUGAAACAAGUAACAUUCACCUGGAACUUGGAACAUUCACCUUUAUAGCCCACUGCCCUGUGCGCAUUGCUGUGCUUAUAAUGUGAAGAAAUAGCCCAAUAGUUUAUCCUACUUUGGAGUUGCGGUGGUUGUGAGAAGGACCCGAUCAUGUGAAAGGCAUUGGCUAAUAAGAAUUAAGAUAUCUGAGCGAGCCAUAUGUGAGAGGUGCAUCGGAGCUGUGCUUCGGAGUACGGUGAUUGGCAGCUGGGAGAAGGGAAUUGUAAUUAGCCUAUUAUAUUCAGCCCAAGGGCACAACGGGCACUGUCCACAAGGCAUGGAUUUUUUUAGGGGGCAUUAUGGCCACACAAGUGGGCAUGGCCGUCAAUGCCCCCGGGAAAAUCCAGGCCUGGCGACUCCUAUGAAAGCAGGAGCAAAGGAAAAAGGGAGAGGGAGAGAAAAGGAGUGCUGUCAGAUUAGAUUUGGGUCAGAAAGGGAAUUGAAGAGCCAGUGGGGCAGAGGGUGUUACAUAUGGACGAUAUUCAUCUCUUUUCCUUUCUCACUCUCUCUUUGUCUCACUACCGCUUUCUAUCCCUCUGUCCCUCCCCCAUCUCUCUCGCUCUUGCUCUCUCUACUCAAUACCUCACUAUCUCACACCUGCAAUAUAGGGGGAGUGAAGGGGAAAAGAAGAUGAAAACCACCUUCUCCUCUCCUCAUCCCCCUCUCCCCUCUUUCCUAAUGAAGACUAAAAGUGAUCUUUCUACUCUAAUGCUCUAAUUGGGCAAUAAGAGAUGGGAACUGAUAGAGAUUGAUUGAGAUUGAUAGAGAUAUAGUUAUGAAGAAAAGAGGGACAGACAGAGAGUGAGGAUUAAGAUAUAGAGAGGCAUAGAGAGGCAGGAUUUGAGGUAGAAAGAAGAGCAGGAAAGGAAGUGAGAGAAAGUGAGGAGCUUUUAUGUGACUGAGAGACAGAUAGGGUGAUGGGAGAUGAGACGGGAUGAGUAAAGUUAGAGAGAUAUUUUGAGAGCAGGAGAGAGAGAGCAAUAGGUUAAGAGAGAUAGAGAGAGAUGGUGUAAUUGUGAUGGUAAUAGGGUUUGUCAGGAGCACCUGUCAGGGUCGAGCUGAAGCGGCUCCGGAGCGAGGGAGGUGAUGGAGGAGAGGAACGAAAUAGGGGAUUGGAGUCAGGAUCCCUCUGAGGAGAGUCCUAUAUCCAUGGCAGGAUUACCUGAUUGCCAAUUUGUGUCCGUCUCCAGACAUCACACACAUAAAACACACACUCGCAUUCACUGCAGGGGAAGGAUGGAGUUGAUUGGACAGGCUCUUGGUGCCUAACGAGGUGUCUAUGGCAAUCACAGACCAGCUGCUUUGUGAUUGGAGGAGGGCUUGUAUUCACAUAAUUUCUAGAUGAAAAGAGAGUGCUGCACUGAUUAUCUUCUAAAACCCAGCUUAGAAAAUCAAAGUGACCUUCAUGGGAGAGAUCUCAGAUAUUUCUGAGUACAGAGUAUGUUGGCUUAGGCAGAUUUAUGUAUUAAACAUACAGGUGUUAGUUAACCUGAGAAUGGUAUUAAAUGCCCACCCAGAUGCCUGGAGCGAGGCAGAGAGAAGAGACAGUGAGAGGGAAGGGCUGGGUAUGGAUCCUCAGAGAGAGACUGGUCCUCGGAUCAGAAAAUAUUGACAGGCUAUAACCCAAACACCCAGUUAUGUCUGACACUGUCUCACACACACACACGCACACGCACACACACACACACACACACACACACACACACACACACACACACACACACACACACACACACACACACACACACACACACACACACACACACACACACUGGAUAGCAGGUUGUUUGUAUGUGUAAAAAAGGAAGAGUUUGUGUGUGUUGUGGAGGGGUGUGUAGUGUGCAUGUGUGGGGUAGUGGGCUGUAUGCUUGGGAUGCGGAGCACGUCAGAGUUCUGUGGAGUUUUCUUUGCAGAAAAGCCUCAUUAAAGAGGUGUAGGCUCGUCUUAACACAGCUAUCUACAGCCAGACCAGACCACACACAGAGAGAGGGAGAGAGCGUGAGGGAGAUGCUGAGGGAGACACUGAGGAACACUUAAAGCACACACACAGACACAAAUAUGAAAUACGAUAUAAAGCAUCUUUCUCAGGUUGCUGUGGUAUCACACAACAUUUGAGUGUGAGUGAAUGGGUUUGUUCUCAUCAGGAUUUUACCUAUCUCUCCCUCCAGACUCUCUCAUCUUCUGGGUUUCUAUGAUCUUUCCUUUGUCCUUAAACUAUGUUCUCCUAUUCAUGUAUAUUUGAUUGUGUCAACUCCGCGGAGAUUGCCUAUGGUGUAUAUGUGUGCCUUUUAAAUCUGUGCUUAUGAAUAAAUAAUAGAUUCCUACGCACUCUGAUUAUUAAAGAAGCCAUAUUGCCAGGAACCCAUGAUGAAAUUAUAUUGUAAUUCAUGCCUCUCCGAUGAAUAAACAGAUAUUUUUCCUUCUUGCAAUUUC
This is a long non-coding RNA of Oncorhynchus mykiss (rainbow trout), 8512 nucleotides long. RefSeq lists it as uncharacterized. The record is from RefSeq and is a predicted model, not a curated record. Lineage: Eukaryota; Metazoa; Chordata; Actinopteri; Salmoniformes; Salmonidae.